Molecule: long non-coding RNA, 1297 nt
Organism: Mauremys reevesii (Reeves's turtle)
Lineage: Eukaryota; Metazoa; Chordata; Testudines; Geoemydidae
Exons: 3
Source: RefSeq, a predicted model, not a curated record
ACGUCACUUAGGGUUUUUUGAAAAUCCCACCCAAUCAUUAUUUUUUCCCUCCCCUUGUCUAUCUAGUAGUUAGAUUACAAGCUCCUCUGGGCAGGGACUGUUCUCAUAUGUAUUUGUACAGCUCAUGACGCAGUGGGGCCUCAAUCUCAGUUGCUACCCAAGCACAAGUAUAAAUAAAUCAACGGCAAGGCUCCUGAGAGGUUCCCAACACCUCCAUCCCACCUUAAUUCACUGUGCCUAAAGGAUGUUGAGCAUGCCUGUCAGAGAGUAGCUGACCCUCUGAAGGAGUCAUGGGCUCAGCCUACUUCUGACAAGCUCCACAAAGGGGAAUGAGGCAACUGAGGUUCACCUGGGACUAAUUAACUUACUGAGCAACUAGGAGGCAGUUAAUUGGACAGGGAAGCACCCAGCCAGGAAGGAAGCUAUUCGCACUGGUGAUGGCCUAGAGAACAGAGGCUCUGGGGGAGAGGAACAGUCUCCAGAACACUGUCUCCUAGACUGCUUAAAAUCCACCUGGCUGCUCCACACGGCUUGGGCUGAGCCCUGUUUGAUCUCUCUGAGGUUUCAUUAGAAUCCAUAAAGGUCAUCACUAUCAUUAUCCCCAUUGUACAGAUGGGAAAACCAAGGCACAGAGGUGAAGUGACUUGGCCAAGGUCAUCCAGGAGGUCAAUGGCCAAUCUGGGAACAGGACCCAGAUCUCUUGAGUGCAAGUGCAGUGCUCUAGCCACUAGGCCACACUGCCUUUCCCUGAUAUGGCUCUCUAUAAACCAUACCUAAGAAGAAUUCCUCAGAGUAUACAGUUACUGGCAAAGAGAGCACAGUGUGCUUAGAAAUCAAUUGUGUGAAACAAAUGAGCAUAAAUGAAUAUGUGACAUAGGAAACUGGUGUAAUCUUAUUUGGGACAAUGCCUAGACUUUGUAAGUAACCUACACCGUACGUUAGUGGGCUGAGCCACUUUUGCCCACAGUAGGAAAACCAUGUGAAAAUGAGCAAAUGGCUGGUGGACUUGUUCUUAAGUUAAUAACUUUUGGAGGGAGACUGACCUCAUUUCUUUUUCCUGCCCUGCACCCUCGUGGAAGCUCCUCAGCUGGGCCUGGUAUUGUUGAGUGAGCCUCUCAAACUGCUCCAAGACAGCUUAGCAACAAACAGGAUAUGAGAGGGGUGACUUUAUCCCUGGACAAAGAGAGCUAUCUAUCUGGGACUGGGUUUGGCUCAGGAGUGUGUUCUCUGACACUGGGUCCAAGUGAUCAACUCUCUGCCAUGGCAAAGGUGAGCACGGGGAAAGCUGUCUGCUGGG